UACGGGGGGAGCAAGCGUUGUUCGGAAUUACUGGGCGUAAAGCGCACGUAGGCGGAUUUGUAAGUCAGGGGUGAAAUCCCGGGGCUCAACCUCGGAACUGCCUUUGAUACUGCAAGUCUUGAGUCCGGAAGAGGUGAGUGGAAUUCCUAGUGUAGAGGUGAAAUUCGUAGAUAUUAGGAAGAACACCAGUGGCGAAGGCGGCUCACUGGUCCGGUACUGACGCUGAGGUGCGAAAGCGUGGGGAGCAAACAGG
Molecule: ribosomal RNA, 253 nt
Filed under: uncultured bacterium
Lineage: Bacteria
Description: partial 16S ribosomal RNA
Rfam family: Bacterial small subunit ribosomal RNA
Source: RNAcentral